Molecule: small nuclear RNA, 104 nt
Organism: Cavia porcellus (domestic guinea pig)
Lineage: Eukaryota; Metazoa; Chordata; Mammalia; Rodentia; Caviidae
Source: Ensembl
GUGCUUGCUUUGGCAGCACAUAUACUAAAAUUGGAAUGAAACAGAGAAAAUUAGCAUGGCCCCUGCACAAGGAUGACAUGCAAAUUCAUGAAGUGUUUAUUUUU